Molecule: long non-coding RNA, 2954 nt
Organism: Alexandromys fortis (reed vole)
Lineage: Eukaryota; Metazoa; Chordata; Mammalia; Rodentia; Cricetidae
Exons: 2
Source: RefSeq, a predicted model, not a curated record
UAUUUAUUUAUUAUGUAUACAAUAUUCUGUCUGUGUGUAUGUCUGCAGUCUAGAAGAGGGCACCAGACCUCAUUCCAGAUGGUUGUGAGCCACCAUGUGGUUGCCGGGAAUUGAACUCAGGACCUUUGGAAGAGCAGACAAUGCUCUUAACCACUGAGCCAUCUCUCCAGCCCCCGACAACCUAGUUUUUUGUUUCUAUUGUUUUGUUUCUAUUUCACGGUGGGUUUUUUUUUUUUAAGAUUUCUUUUUAUUUCUGCACUCGUGCAUGAGCAUGGGUGUGGGGAGUUGAGACACCAUCAGACUCCCUGGAACUAGGAGGUCACCUGCAUGGGUGUCAGCAACUGAGCUCUGAGCUUCCAGAAGAGCAGGAAGCUUUCUUUCCCACAGAACACUAAGACCCAGGCUGGGCUGGAACUCAGGACAGUCCUCCUGCCUCAGCUUCCCCACUGUUUUCCCUCUGUAUUUGCCACCCACGGAUUAUUUUUCGGUUUCCCUGAGUCUGUUUUUGGGAACCUUAGUGUUUGUGUUCCUUGGCUUUUGCUGAAGAAACGACCGGCAAAUGAGAUAAAUGCUCUGUACCCUCAUGAACUUCAUCCCCUGGGAAGGAGGAAGGGUCAGCAAUCGUUCCACGAUUCAGGGUUGAUUUAGGGUUGAGGAGAGGAGAGGUAGGAACCUGACUUAGACUGACGUGCCACAGACGGCUCCCCCAAACAGCCAGCUUUGGGAUGGAGGAGGGAAAGAUGAGCAGAAGUUAGCCCUGAAGAGAAAGAAAAGACUAACUUUAAGGAAGGUGGAUUUCUCACACACCUAAUUCUACUCUCUCUCUCUCUCUCUCUCUCUCUCUCUUUCUCUCUCUCUCUUACACACACACACACACACACACACACACACACACACACACACACACACCUACUGUUACUGUUUCCAUUCAUCCCCAAAUGUGGGCCCUAAGACUGACAGUUCCUAGACCCUCAGGCAUCCAUAGUGUUGUGCCUCCAUUGAGGGUGGCCCACAGGUCUCCAUGGUGGGUCUGCUUCGACACAUCUUAUCCCAGGAGGGUGUGUGGGGCCUCUACCGGGGCAUUGCCCCCAACUUCAUGAAGGUCAUUCCAGCUGUAAGCAUCUCCUACGUGGUCUACGAGAACAUGAAGCAGGCCCUGGGGGUCACAUCCAGGUGAGGGACCGGGAACCUGUCACCCCAAGAUUCCCUCAUCUUCGUCACGGCAUCUCCCAUGCUGACGUCCUCAACCGCCAGAAACUAAUGGCCUGACCAGUGGUUCCUAAUCCCCCAACCCAAGCCUCUGGAUACCAGAACCCAAGUCCCAGGUCGUUGGCCCUGUGUUCUGACAUCUGUACCACUAGGCCCCACUCUUUGGCCACUGGAUCCCAGUACUGGAUCCUCGACUUCACAGCGAGACUCCCAGACCCCAACUGCUGUACCUCAUACAUCACUUGAGAUGCAGAACUAUCCACACUCUGGCCCUGAGCCCUUAUCCCCAAGCCCCUUGACCCUGCUCAUCAACACACCAGAGCCAGAUCCUGCUUUUCCCUGCCUUACCCACUGGGAGCUGGGCCACCCUGUGCAACAACAGAUGGUCCCAGUGCCCCAAGCAUGAAGGCACACAUCAAUGUAUCCCGUAACCCAGAUCUCAGAUUCUUCAGGCACCAGACCCUCAUGCCUCACUAGACCUGAGACCCUAAAUCUGCUGGUGAGCUCCCUGUCACUCGCCUCAUAGUCUGGAUUCUAGAAGCCAGGAACUCUUAGCCACAGGGUCCUGAUCCUGGGUUACUGGAUCCCAGAUCCCUCACCCCAAACAAUUCUUUUACCUCAACUUGGAGUUUCAUGCCCUUCCGCUUUGACUGCCGGAUCUACAUUUUAGCACACCCUCAAUCUCCUGUCACUGGAUCCAAGAGUCCCAAGUCCUUAACCCCCUGGAUUCUGGUUCCGUGAACCACCAACGUGUGAGCUCCAGGGUGGAUUCUAGAUACCACAGCUGUAGCUGUUCAAUCUCAGAUCCCAGAUUCCUUCAACCCCUUCUCUGGAUACCAGCCAUAGAAGACCAAGCUCUCCCAGACACUACCAGGUUCCAAGCCCUUUGCUCCUGCACCCCAAGUUCUCAGUCUACUCCCUAAGUCUAGAUCCCAGCAGCCCAGUGGCAGCAUCUCAGAUCCCACAGGCACCCCAGUAUCCCAGACACACCCUGGAGCUGAUUCCCACUGCAUCCCACACCAUCGGGGAUCCUUCUGGAAGCCCAGACCCUGGACUAGUAAGUAGCUCCACACCAGUAAGGGAAUGGGAUGUAUGUCCCACACCAUUCCCCACAUGAAUGCUGAAUCUCCCCACAGCUAGGACACACCUCCACUCCUCCACCACUCCCCCAAAUCACCUCCCUCCCCAUCUCCCUCUCUGCAAUGUCUUCCACACCCCUGCCUAUCUGCCAGGCUAGUAACUUCCCAGAGUCCAGGUUCCUCUGGGAGGGUCUGGUCUGCUUACUCAUGGUGGGGAUUUACCAGGUGAAGCCAAGCGACACAGCCAAGGGGACCUUCUGCAUCCCAGCACUGCCAGCCCUGCUCGGGCCUCAGAAAGUCACAAUUAAAGACCAAUACACAGCAUCCUUCCUGAAACCCAGCAUCCAGUAUGCAAAAUGAAACAACCCCAGACUGACUCGGGGUCUAUUUUUCUACCAGACGGAGAACAAAGUCCCCUGACUCCCCACAACAUUCCCAUACCCUCCACACUUCAACGUUGGAUUCUGAGCUUAGGAUAAGUGGGGGGGGCCUGCUCAACUCCCCGAUCUCUGGGGACCCCAUCAAAGGACUGAAAGGAACUAGGAUGUUGAGGGGCAAGAGGACCCCACCAUGGCUUCCACCUCUCCCUCCAGCCUACACCAAGUCCGUCUCUCUGCCCGUGUAUGUCAUUUCAAGGGAAGAGAAUAAAUUUUCUAAGCUCUUUCA